Molecule: non-coding RNA, 375 nt
Organism: Alistipes sp. An31A
Lineage: Bacteria; Pseudomonadati; Bacteroidota; Bacteroidia; Bacteroidales; Rikenellaceae
Rfam family: Bacterial RNase P class A
About the family: Ribonuclease P (RNase P) is a ubiquitous endoribonuclease, found in archaea, bacteria and eukarya as well as chloroplasts and mitochondria. Its best characterised activity is the generation of mature 5'-ends of tRNAs by cleaving the 5'-leader elements of precursor-tRNAs. Cellular RNase Ps are ribonucleoproteins.
Source: Rfam
GCGCAGGUCCGCUCUGUCGCCGCCGGCUCGGCCGGGGGAGGAAAGUCCGGGCAACGCAGAGCGCCACGCAAGCCAAUCACUUGAUAUCCGUGAGGGUAUAGGAGCGUAACAGAGAAGAACCGCCCCGCUGUCGGGUUCGCCCGCAGCGGUGGUAAGGGUGAAAAGGCGGGGUAAGAGCCCACCGCAGAGGCAGUGAUGUCGUCUGGCCGUACGUCUCGUGGGUUGCAAGACCAUGUAUACCGGCAAUUAAGGGUUGCUCGCCCGAUGCCGGGGGGUAGGUUGCUUGAGACGGCAGGAGACUGCCGCCCUAGAUAAAUGACAGAGACCCGGAGGCAACUCCGGGGACAGAACCCGGCUUACAGGACCUGCACACUU